RNAcentral lists this transfer RNA (73 nucleotides) under Loxodonta africana (African savanna elephant). It matches the Rfam family "tRNA". Rfam says of the family: Transfer RNA (tRNA) molecules are approximately 80 nucleotides in length. The record is from Rfam by way of RNAcentral. Lineage: Eukaryota; Metazoa; Chordata; Mammalia; Proboscidea; Elephantidae.
GCUCUGGUGGUGCAGUGGUUAAACUGCUUGGCUGCUAACCAAAAGGUUGGUGGUUCAAACCCACCCAGAGGCU